This 997-nucleotide ribosomal RNA is filed under the name Shouchella clausii. RNAcentral describes it as "bacterial SSU rRNA". It matches the Rfam family "Bacterial small subunit ribosomal RNA", at positions 43 to 997 of the family's 1533-position model. The record is from RNAcentral. Lineage: Bacteria; Bacillati; Bacillota; Bacilli; Caryophanales; Bacillaceae.
CGUGGCGUCUAUCUGCAGUCGAGCGGACAGAUAGGAGCUUGCUCCUUUGACUUAGCGGCGGACGGGUGAGUAACACGUGGGCAACCUGCCCCUUAGACUGGGAUAACUCCGGGAAACCGGAGCUAAUACCGGAUAAUCCCUUUCUCCACCUGGAGAGAGGGUGAAAGAUGGCUUCGGCUAUCACUAAGGGAUGGGCCCGCGGCGCAUUAGCUAGUUGGUAAGGUAACGGCUUACCAAGGCAACGAUGCGUAGCCGACCUGAGAGGGUGAUCGGCCACACUGGGACUGAGACACGGCCCAGACUCCUACGGGAGGCAGCAGUAGGGAAUCUUCCGCAAUGGACGAAAGUCUGACGGAGCAACGCCGCGUGAGUGAGGAAGGCCUUCGGGUCGUAAAGCUCUGUUGUGAGGGAAGAAGCGGUACCGUUCGAAUAGGGCGGUGCCUUGACGGUACCUCACCAGAAAGCCACGGCUAACUACGUGCCAGCAGCCGCGGUAAUACGUAUGUGGCAAGCGUUGUCCGGAAUUAUUGGGCGUAAAGCGCGCGCACGCGGCUUCUUAAGUCUGAUGUGAAAUCUCGGGGCUCAACCCCGAGCGGCCAUUGGAAACUGGGGAGCUUGAGUGCAGAAGAGGAGAGUGGAAUUCCACGUGUAGCGGUGAAAUGCGUAGAGAUGUGGAGGAACACCAGUGGCGAACGCGACUCUCUGGUCUGUAACUGACGCUGAGGCGCGAAAGCGUGGGGAGCAAACAAGAUUAGAUACCCUGAUAGUCCACGCCGUAAACGAUGAGUGCUAGGUGUUAGGGGUUUCGAUGCCCCGUAGUGCCGAUUUUAACACAUUAACGCACUCCCGCCCUGGGGAGAAGUACGGCCGCAAGGGCUGAAAACUCAAAGGAAAUUGGACGGGGGGCACCCCGCACAAAGCAGUGAAAGCAUGUGUUUAAUUUCCGAAAGGCAACCGCCGAAAGAACCUUAACCCAGGGCUUCUCUGUUGGUGGCGG